This is a long non-coding RNA of Nasonia vitripennis (jewel wasp), 3249 nucleotides long. RefSeq lists it as uncharacterized. Lineage: Eukaryota; Metazoa; Arthropoda; Insecta; Hymenoptera; Pteromalidae. The record is from RefSeq and is a predicted model, not a curated record. The transcript has 2 exons.
UCCCUCUUUUAACGACGAGUCUGGCGCCCGCGCUGGAUUACAAGUUGCGGCGCGUUUUUCCGCCGCCCCGUAUACCGAGUUUCGAGAAUAACAACACUGCCGCUUUUUGCGCGUCGUCUGCUCUCCGUACAAGAUCGUAAACUCGCGCGUCGUGCACUUGUCUCUAUAUGCUAUAAUAUAUAUAGGUAUACGAAGGGGGAAAAAUAGUGGAAUAGAAGAAUCGAACGCAGAUAGUAUAUCUUGGCUCGAGAGAUCCUCGGUCGUCGUCACACGUAUAAACGGCUUCCGGGUUCGUGCUUCUUGUUAUCUCUUAUUCUAAUACAACGAAUUUCUUAAACAGGGACGCGUCUGCUUCGAUAAAUCUCUGCAAGAGAGAUGAGUCGAGAGCCUAGACGGAAAUAGCAGUUUUGGCGGGGCAGAGAGAGAGAAAAAAAAACUCACGUGUCAAUUAAGAUCUCGCCUUGGAUAUCACCGUGAGGAUGUGGAAGGCGCGUGGCGAUGCAUAUAUUAUUACACGGAGAGGAUGUAGGAUCGUUUUUUUUUUCCCCUCGUCGACGCCGCGCGCGCGUGAUAACAUCAACACAGUUGACCUCUCUGCUGGCGAAGAGCUACUACACACACACACAAUGGAUGACACACUAAGCUGGAACUCGGUAGGCUGCAGUAUAUAGAAAUAAGCAUUCGUCGUGCAGUUGCAGGAAAAAGGAGAAUUUGUAGAAUUCAUCAUUCGCACGAGAGAGAAAGGCGCCCAACAACAACAACAACAACAACAGCGGCAGCAGAUAUGGGAUUCGCGAAGAAGAAGAAGAAGUUAUUUGCCAAGGACGUCGAUUAUACACGAGGAAAAAAGCCGGCUUGUAAACAUUGACGCUAAACGCCGCUACUGAUAGCGUUGCAGCGCACGUGUCGACUGUGUGUGUGUGUGUAUAUAUAUAGCUGCGGUAUAUAAGUAUACAUAACCGGAUUGGUUUUUCUUUUUGAGGUCGUAUGCGGCUGAUACAAUUUGUAAACAAAUAUUAUUUUUUUCACGUGCAGGUAAUCGAAGCUUGAAAUCCCACGAAUCUGCAUAAAUCCGUGCGUGUAAUAACUAGGCCAUUCACCUCGUCAAAGGUCAGUCCGUCUACAGCCGAGAUCGUCUCCGAAACUCGGUAUAUACUUACUACGAGAGUCGUGUGUGUGUAUGUGUGUGUUUGCACCAAUAAAAUUCCAGGACGUUUCUUUUCACGACUAUGCAGCCAUCAGAUAAAAGCUCUCGCAUACGUGUACUCUCCGAAGCGUGCAGUCGAGAGGAUCACGAUUUUUCGGGGAUACAUAUCGUCGGCGCAGCACGAGUCCGCGAUAAUACUCACUUACUCGCGUGCGUUGAAAAGGAAGAGCAGAAAAAGAGAGAGUCAGUCGCGCGCGCGUGUGUGUGUGUGCCGUGGGAAAGGCAAAGGCGGAUCAUCCUCGAUUUUGAAUUUCGAGCGCACGUCCUAUUCAACAUCCGGUGAAAGACGUCCGGGUUCGAUCUCAGGCUUUGUUAUAUAUACGACGACAUACUUUGGCGCGAAGCUGAUGCUGGUUUGUAAUGGACCUGUAUAUUGGGACACGGUUGAUUAGAAAUCGAGAGGAUUGACAUUGCUGGAAAUGAGUUUUAUUACGCGAGAUAACUAAUGUAUAGGAACGUGUUUUCUUAGUCGGAGGAUAACGAUCACUGAUGACGUUCGGUUCGGUUCGGUUUUAACGUCACGAGCUUCUGGAAAUGGGAAUGACGGCGUUUAACGAAUUUUUCGAGAGCAUCGUGUACCCAACUAUACGCGCGGUUUCUUAAAUUAAAAAUAUGAGAUUUGCAUGAUUGGAUGAGAAAAAAAAAUUCAAAGAUUUUACUCUAUACGCUCAUUUGCAUUUUCGGAGAUUAUUCCAGACUCUUUUGCUUAUACAUCCCGUAUCCCGGAGCUUCGAUCUCGGAGUGAAUUUAUCGCGGUUAUUUACGUGAAAAUCAUACAAUAGUGUAUUAACGAAAAUGAUUAAACCCCGUAUACCAUCGUCGAAAUGGAGAUCCACGCGGGAAUGAAUAAUGCAUGAGACGUACUAUUGCAUUACUUAACACAUCCUGGAUUUACACAGAGAGACGACAAAAAAGAGCUACUAACAUCACCGUCCUUGGUACACACACACACACACACACAUGUAACGAACGUUUAGUUCUAAGUCGCAGGUGCGCAACAAAGCAAUCGAAAGUAGAUUAGUUCCGCGAUGGGUAAAUUGUUUUGAAAUUCAUUUCGUUCUCGUUUGAAAAAAAAAAAAAAAUUAAAAACGCAACUCAAAAGCUUUUUGCACUAGAACGCGAGUUAAGUAACGUUUAAAAGUUGAAACCCAUAUAAAACACACACACACACAAAGAAGCCGCUGAAAGGAAGAAUAAAAGACGCUCCGAAACAGUUCGUUCUCCGCUCAAUGAUAUACAGGAUAUUCGACGAUAGCUAUUGGGUCAAUAGAAAGCUCCCUCUCGUUCAUGCUCUGUAUGGUAGCUGUGCUGCAAGCGGAUCCCCGAGAAAAUUUCGGCGUUAAGAAUUCACCUUCGAUACAAGCUUAUAACGAUCCCUCUGCGAUACUUUUAUUGUUAAUCUUUCUAUAAACAAACGAGCAACUCUACACUUGUACUCCCGGAACUGCAGACGUGAACUCGCAGCUGGAUCGAUAAAAAUGUUAAUUUUUUCGUCCGGUUAUCGGACUGAGAUUACGCGGCAUUGUCGAGCUUCCAGAAAAGAAGGCAACGCUCUCUACUGACUUUCUACGUACGUUGCCUAAAUCUACUCGUCUUGCGUCGAGUGCGCGUAACGAUGCUUUUUUUUUUUUCUCCAAAUUGAGCGUGAGAAAAUCAGGCAAACAAAAAAAAUCGCUUCGACGCGAUGUACCGCCGUCUGUAUAAUGCAUACAUAAAUCUAUACCGCGAGUGCAGUCGCGGCUUUAUCAAUGUCAAGCCCAUAUUCACACAGGACUAUAUGUUGUAGCUCUCUCGCAAGGUGCGGCUCUCCGCCGAGAGAGCACAGCCCAAUAACCCGAAUGUAACCGGACACACGCAAACGCGCGCGAGUGAGCGGUGAGAAGAGAGCUGCAGUGUGUGUGUGUAUAUAUAUAUAUAUAUAUAUAUAUUUGCGUUGAAUGUCAGAGGAAAAGUACGGAUGAGCUGAUUUGACGUGAUUAUGUAUUUCUGAGGAGUGGUUAAUCAAAUUUGAGUGUAGAAUUAUUAAAGAUAAUAUAAGUGUA